AUUGAACGCUGGCGGCAUGCCUUACACAUGCAAGUCGAAACGGCAGCACGGGAGCUUGCUCCUGGUGGCGAGUGGCGAACGGGUGAGUAAUACAUCGGAACGUACCCUGAAGUGGGGGAUAACGUAGCGAAAGUUACGCUAAUACCGCAUAUUCUGUGAGCAGGAAAGAGGGGGAUCGCAAGACCUCUUGCUUUAGGAGCGGCCGAUGUCGGAUUAGCUAGUUGGUGAGGUAAAAGGCUCACCAAGGCGACGAUCCGUAGCGGGUCUGAGAGGAUGAUCGCCACACUGGGACUGAGACACGGCCCCAGGAACUCCUACGGGAGCAGCAGUGGGGAAUUUUGGGACAAAUGGGCGCAAGCCUGAU
RNAcentral lists this ribosomal RNA (364 nucleotides) under uncultured bacterium. RNAcentral describes it as "bacterial SSU rRNA". It matches the Rfam family "Bacterial small subunit ribosomal RNA", at positions 30 to 387 of the family's 1533-position model. The record is from RNAcentral.